GGAUGUGAGGCCGAUCUGGCUGUGACAUCUGUCACCCCAUUAGUCACCAGGGUUGAUUUGGCUGAUCUGGCCAGCUAGGUGGGUGUCCCCUUCCUGCCUCACCACUCCAUGUUCAUCCCUCCCAAAGCUGCACGCUCAGGUGGUCGCUCAGUUGCAGAAGAUGACCAUCCUGACAGAGGACCAAUCUUCCAUCAAGGGUAUAGGAGGAGUAGCUGCGCUCCCCUGCUAGAACCUCCAAAUGAGCUCUCAAAGAUACUAACUGGUUUUCCUGAAGACACACUUCUGGAAGAAAAUGUAACUCGUGUACAGAAUUUUUUACAAAACUAACAUUAAACUCCAUAAAGCAAGUAAAGUAACUUUACCUUUAACCAAGAGUUUUUCCUCAUU
This is an unclassified non-coding RNA of Cercocebus atys (sooty mangabey), 387 nucleotides long. Its record names the gene 7SK. It matches the Rfam family "7SK RNA". From Rfam's summary of the family: 7SK was discovered as an abundant small nuclear RNA in the mid-70s but a possible function has only recently been suggested. Two independent studies have found that 7SK RNA binds the CDK9/cyclin T complex (known as elongation factor P-TEFb). The record is from Ensembl. NCBI's taxonomy places the organism in Eukaryota, Metazoa, Chordata, Mammalia, Primates, Cercopithecidae.